Molecule: ribosomal RNA, 412 nt
Filed under: uncultured bacterium
Lineage: Bacteria
Description: bacterial SSU rRNA
Rfam family: Bacterial small subunit ribosomal RNA
Source: RNAcentral
AAUGAUUGUACCCGCAAAGGAAGCAUCGUGCUAACUACGUGCCAGCAGCCGCGGUAAGACGUAGGAUGCAAGCGUUGUCCGGAUUUAUUGGGCGUAAAGAGUUCGUAGGUGGUAAUUNAAGUCUAAUGUGAAAUCAUAGAGCUUAACUCUAUUCCCGCAUUGGAAACUGCUUUACUUGAGCAAGGUAGGGGUCAGAGGAAUUCCUGGUGUAGCGGUGAAAUGCGUAGAUAUCAGGAGGAACACCGGUGGCGAAAGCGUCUGACUGGGCCUUUGCUGACACUGAGGAACGAGAGCUAGGGGAGCGAAAGGGAUUAGAUACCCCUGUAGUCCUAGCCGUAAACGAUGGAUACUAGUUGUCGCAGGAAUCGACCCCCGCGGUGACGUCGCUAACGCAUUAAGUAUCCCGCCUGGG